This is a long non-coding RNA of Drosophila sechellia, 493 nucleotides long. RefSeq lists it as uncharacterized. The record is from RefSeq and is a predicted model, not a curated record. The transcript is spliced from 2 exons. NCBI's taxonomy places the organism in Eukaryota, Metazoa, Arthropoda, Insecta, Diptera, Drosophilidae.
AAUUCGGAUCAAACCGCUCGCUUCGACGCCUCUUUUUCAACUAAAAUCUGGGGGAAUCGAGAAGUUGGAAACUAGGUAGGCACAGUACGUAUGUUCAGGGGCUGAUAAGAGCGCUUCCAGUGGGUUGAUUGCAAUAUUUUCUACACAGACGAAAAUCAACUAGAUGGCAACUAGAUUUCUUCUAUAUGAACAGAAUUUAUAAAAGGUUUAGAUAUAGAUGGUAUAGUUCAAACCCUUAAAAGUUAAACAAACAAUUUAUGCCUGUGCUAGCUUUUUUUUUCAGUGCAACCGCUGCUGUUUGUUGUUUUCAGCUGGACGAUUGGAAAAGUUGCUAAUAAAUAACAAAAACACGACGAUAGCCUUUCGGGACCCCUGCAAAAUCAACGAUCGCUGGGGGUAAAUGGAGCAGUAACUCAAAUUGCAUUCGCUUAUCAGGAUCACUUUGUAAAUCAAAUAAACAUCCGAAAGAUCUGGAAUUUUUCCUCAAAAAGUA